UCCUCAUCUGGGUUCCCUGCUGCCGAAAAUCUUGUGCCUACAAUUCAAAAGAAGCACCAGUAGGAGAAUCAAGUAAGAAAUUUUCAGGUUUUCGAAUUGAAUUAUUCAAAGAAAUUUUCAGGUUUUCGAAUUGAAUUAUUCAGCUACCUCUUGAAUAUUUGAGAGCAAUAAAUGCUUUUAAAAUGAAAGAAGUUCACAAUUGGAAUGAUCACAUAUGUUCAAGGAUCCCCACAUUUAACUAGAAGGUUUUGCUUUCAUGUUUUACCAAUUAGUCAGAUAACAAACCCAAAUAAUAGACCCCAUAUUGUUUCGACUUAUCAUUUUUCUUGAGUUACGGUACCUGACAGAUUUCUG
RNAcentral lists this long non-coding RNA (354 nucleotides) under Gossypium barbadense (sea-island cotton). RNAcentral's name for it is "long non-coding RNA (GBAR_LNC006864)". The record is from RNAcentral. Lineage: Eukaryota; Viridiplantae; Streptophyta; Magnoliopsida; Malvales; Malvaceae.